Molecule: long non-coding RNA, 299 nt
Filed under: Elaeis guineensis (African oil palm)
Lineage: Eukaryota; Viridiplantae; Streptophyta; Magnoliopsida; Arecales; Arecaceae
Description: long non-coding RNA (EGUI_LNC029155)
Source: RNAcentral
AACAGGUUUUUUUCCAAGGCUUUGAAGAAGGCCAUAAGCUUCAGAUGACUUAGUUGAGAUGAAAGAUGGCAAGGUUGUUGUAGAAUUCACAAGGCUUUUGUGUCAUGGUGAAGGAAAUGGUCUUGGGAGGUUUGUGUAUAUGCAUCAUAAUCUGAUGGCAACAUCAGUGAAUUAAGCAGGCAUGAAAUAGCUAGAACAAGGCUUUACCGACAAGCCUUACAUUGUUUUAUCCCAGGAAGAUAAUUUUGUUAAAUCUCAUGAUGAUAAUAAUAAAAAAAAUAAACCUGUCAUUGAUGUGG